AAUAAUAAUAUUAAAAAUAGUAGAAUCUAUAUUCACAUUAGCAUUUUGAUUGAGAAUGGAAUAUGAAAUUUAAAACAAAACGUGGAAACAGAUUUAAGUUUGAAAUUUGAAUUUGAGCAUAAGUUGGAAAUGAGAAAUAAAAAAUAGAAAAGAAAAACAGAGCUAAAUAGACUAGAACCCUCAAUUUCGGCCGAUCCCCACGUCCCAUCCCGCGCGGCCCACGAAGCCAACCCCCUUGUCCUUUCUUCCACGCGCCGUCCCUCUGAAGUGUGGACCCUGCGCGUCGGCCUUCCCCUUGGUCACUUGCGCGUGGUGCCGGAUUGGGAGGAUCAUCUCCCUCCCGAGAUCCUUGCCGGGUUGUUGCAACGGCACGCAGAAAUUGGCUGGGAAUCCCGAUGCUUCCUCAUGGCAAUUUAUGCGGAGCUUCUUGCCUCUACUGCCCCGGACGACCGCUGCGAAACCAGGCGUCCACGAACGGGAAACCAAGCACCGCCACCGGGGAAAGGGGAACUCGCGCCACCGCGGUCGGUUCUCACCUUGACCGCCGUUCCAACCCCGAAGACCAGCUCGGAGAAAGCGCAGACCUCGGGGGAAAAGCACAGAGGCGCCUAAGGGCUCUGGGGUCACCUGGUGUCACCUCAAUUGCUCACCGGGGUUUGGAUUCCGCCGCAGGACCGCCUCAUCGCGUGGUCAUUCCCUCCCGGUGCCCGAUCUGAGGUAAGAAACCAUACAAGCCGUUCGCCUUGUCCUGCUCCGCGUGUUCCUCAAUUCGGUUGCGAGUUUGGGGCACUGGACGCGCCAGCACGGUACUCCGGUGAUGGCGCUGCCGCGGGGAAAGCUCUGCGCUGUCGUCUGCGUGUAGUCGGGUGGAGACGAUGGUCUUCGGACCGUUUAUCUCGCAGGAACGGUCAGGAUUAGAUUAACUGGGUACCGGUUCGUCUGAUGAUCGGUGUCCGUUGGAUCGACCGUGGGUGGCACAGAUUGGAUCUGGGGAUACCCCCUUCAACGAUUGAUCCUGGGUCGUUGAUCGAAACAUCCAUGGCCCGGGUUAGAUUAGUGGCGUGAGAGCAUCUAAACCGUGGAUUCAUAAUCUGGGGGCUGUUAUCGCAUACCCGUUCGGAUUUAUGGCGUUAUGAUCGUGGCCGUUGGUUCAGAUCUGACGAUCCAUAUCCACUGAUACCCCUUCGACCCGUACAAAUUGCUAAAGAGCCCCUCGGCUUGUUCCGAAUAAACCCACCGUCCUCCGCCUAUGUAAAUUAAUUGCGAUUGAGCCCUGGGUAUUUAUAAACUAGCCCCUGUACUCUUUAGAAUUUGCAACAGUAGUCUGUAGCCUUAUUUUUAGUAAAUAGAAUUUAGGAAAAUGAUUUAUAAUAUAGAAACAAAUCAAAUAAUCUUAGAAAAAUUUAUAACUUGCACGUUUUAACUUCUUUUUGUCCCAUUCCAGUUGCAUUAAAUUCAUAAUAAUGUUGUUUAUCAUCUAGUAACCUUGGUUUGUUAUUAAACAUAGAUUUAAACUAUGCACUUAGUUUAUUCGAUAUUAAGCACCUAAAUCUUUAGAAAAUCAUAACUUUAUAAUCGUAGCUCCAAAUUUAUCGGUUCUCGAAUCUACGAUCUCGUUACGACACGUAGAAUAUUAUUAUGCAGUUUGUGCUUAUGUUUGGUGUGAUGUUAAUUUUGCCUAUACCAUGUUUGUUUGUAUUGCUACGAAUAACAGUGAGGAUCCAAGAAUCUGAAGAUCAUCCUGGUACCUAGAAUCUCGAGUCUCAAGCAAGUUGUGCCCUUGAUCACUCUUUUUACCUAAUAAUGUUCGUUGUUAAUCACUGUGACAUGCUCAGAUUAAUUUGAUGGGACCUAAUAGGUUUCCCUAGCAUUAUUUAUCCCCUAAUUUGCAACUAGAUGAAUUAUUGGGUAGAUUUGCUAUUGCUCUACCUAGUUUUGGGAAACUAAUGUUUUAUUAUGAUCAUGUUCCAAUUAUGUUGUUUAAUUAUUGUUCAUGAUAAGAUUAUAUUGUUAAUUGGAACAUGGAGAACCACCCGAGAAAAUAGUGCUACCACAAGGGUGGUAUGGGACGCCCUUGGCUGACUAAUUAGGAAAGCUAGUGGAGGACUAUCUUACCUGAAAGGUGCAAGGGCAGUAGGGGAGUAGUCGGUAUAGGGAGGUUCUCGAGCUGAUUUUGUUGCGAUGGCUUUUCAAACAGGGGAUUCCUAUGCUACGCUCCCUAGAAACUGUAGCGGGUUUCUGAAUCUAGUGGAACUUUGUAAAGGCCUCGUAGUGGUACCUUGCCUCGCUUCCUUGGUAGAGGUGUAUGGGGUCCGAUCAACCUCGUGGCAAAUGGGUAACACGACUUGUGGGUAAAGAUGCACAACCUCUGCAGAGUGUAAAACUGGUAUAUCAGUCGUGCUCACGGUCAUGAGCGGCUCGGACACUCACAUGAAAUUAAACUCAAUUUGUCAUUUGCAUUGCAUUGUGGGUGUUGUUAUUAAUUUUGAUCUCUUAUUUAAUUGGGUGGGUAUCUACUUAUACCUAGUAACUGUUAAUAAAAAUUUGACCAACUUUAAAAGCAAUGCUCAGCUUUAACCAUCCUCUUUGGUAAGCCUUACACUUCACAUGGGCUCCCACCUUUGGUGGGUUCAUGCACAUUAUUCCCCACAACUUGUUGAGCGAUGAACAUAUGUGAGCUCAUCCUUGCUGUACUCACAUCCCCCCAGGUCAAGAACAGUUACCACAGGAUGAGGCGCAUGAAGAAUGAUGUGAUGAGUUCGUGAGAGGUCUAGGCCGUCGUCUUCUAGUCAACUUUGGGUUGCUGGAUCGUUGUCUUCGUAUGAUAUAAUUAUUUAACUAUUUUGUACAGAACUCCUAUUGUAUAGUAAAUAUGUGACAUUCGUUUCUGUACCAUGAAUCAUCAUAUGUGUGAGACUAGAUCCUAGCACACUUAGUGAUUGUUUCACGCCCGGGUUUUGGUGCCCCUAAAAUCCGGGUGUGACAGUGAAGCACAUAAAUAAAGUAAAGAUUCUAUCAUCGACCGGUAUACCUUUUGAUCUACAGAUUUACCUCCCGUGUUGAGGUCGAGAUGCCCAUUUGUUCCCAGGGGAGUCUCGAUGGGUUUUACAUUCUUCAUUCCAAACUUCU
Molecule: long non-coding RNA, 3129 nt
Filed under: Zea mays
Lineage: Eukaryota; Viridiplantae; Streptophyta; Magnoliopsida; Poales; Poaceae
Description: long non-coding RNA (ZMAY_LNC004842)
Source: RNAcentral